RNAcentral lists this ribosomal RNA (276 nucleotides) under uncultured prokaryote. RNAcentral's name for it is "partial 16S ribosomal RNA". It matches the Rfam family "Bacterial small subunit ribosomal RNA", at positions 524 to 801 of the family's 1533-position model. The record is from RNAcentral.
UACGUAGGGGCUAGCGUUAUCCGGAAUUACUGGGCGUAAAGGGUGCGUAGGUGGUUUCUUAAGUCAGAGGUGAAAGGCUACGGCUCAACCGUAGUAAGCCUUUGAAACUGGGAAACUUGAGUGCAGGAGAGGAGAGUGGAAUUCCUAGUGUAGCGGUGAAAUGCGUAGAUAUUAGGAGGAACACCAGUUGCGAAGGCGGCUCUCUGGACUGUAACUGACACUGAGGCACGAAAGCGUGGGGAGCAAACAGGAUUAGAUACCCCUGCAGUCCCUGAG